Molecule: ribosomal RNA, 1077 nt
Filed under: Bacillus velezensis
Lineage: Bacteria; Bacillati; Bacillota; Bacilli; Caryophanales; Bacillaceae
Description: bacterial SSU rRNA
Rfam family: Bacterial small subunit ribosomal RNA
Source: RNAcentral
GGACUGGCGGGCGUGCCUAUACAUGCAAGUCGAGCGGACAGAUGGGAGCUUGCUCCCUGAUGUUAGCGGCGGACGGGUGAGUAACACGUGGGUAACCUGCCUGUAAGACUGGGAUAACUCCGGGAAACCGGGGCUAAUACCGGAUGGUUGUCUGAACCGCAUGGUUCAGACAUAAAAGGUGGCUUCGGCUACCACUUACAGAUGGACCCGCGGCGCAUUAGCUAGUUGGUGAGGUAACGGCUCACCAAGGCGACGAUGCGUAGCCGACCUGAGAGGGUGAUCGGCCACACUGGGACUGAGACACGGCCCAGACUCCUACGGGAGGCAGCAGUAGGGAAUCUUCCGCAAUGGACGAAAGUCUGACGGAGCAACGCCGCGUGAGUGAUGAAGGUUUUCGGAUCGUAAAGCUCUGUUGUUAGGGAAGAACAAGUGCCGUUCAAAUAGGGCGGCACCUUGACGGUACCUAACCAGAAAGCCACGGCUAACUACGUGCCAGCAGCCGCGGUAAUACGUAGGUGGCAAGCGUUGUCCGGAAUUAUUGGGCGUAAAGGGCUCGCAGGCGGUUUCUUAAGUCUGAUGUGAAAGCCCCCGGCUCAACCGGGGAGGGUCAUUGGAAACUGGGGAACUUGAGUGCAGAAGAGGAGAGUGGAAUUCCACGUGUAGCGGUGAAAUGCGUAGAGAUGUGGAGGAACACCAGUGGCGAAGGCGACUCUCUGGUCUGUAACUGACGCUGAGGAGCGAAAGCGUGGGGAGCGAACAGGAUUAGAUACCCUGGUAGUCCACGCCGUAAACGAUGAGUGCUAAGUGUUAGGGGGUUUCCGCCCCUUAGUGCUGCAGCUAACGCAUUAAGCACUCCGCCUGGGGAGUACGGUCGCAAGACUGAAACUCAAAGGAAUUGACGGGGGCCCGCACAAGCGGUGGAGCAUGUGGUUUAAUUCGAAGCAACGCGAAGAACCUUACCAGGUCUUGACAUCCUCUGACAAUCCUAGAGAUAGGACGUCCCCUUCGGGGGCAGAAUGACAGGUGGUGCAUGGUUGUCCUCAGCUCCGGGCCUGAGAUGUUGGGUUAAGUCCCGCA